GAUGAAGAACGCAGCGAAAUGCGAUAAGUAGUGUGAAUUGCAGAAUUCAGUGAAUCAUCGAAUCUUUGAACGCACAUUGCGCCCCUUGGUAUUCCAUGGGGCAUGCCUGUUCGAGCGUCAUUUGUACCUUCAAGCUCUGCUUGGUGUUGGGUGUUUGUCUCGCCUCUGCGUGUAGACUCGCCUCAAAGCAAUUGGCAGCCGGCGUAUUGAUUUCGGAGCGCAGUACAUCUCGCGCUUUGCACUCAUAACGACGACGUCCAAAAGUACAUUUUUACACUCUUGACCUCGGAUCAGGUAGGGAUACCCGCUGAACUUAAGCAUAUCAAUAAGCGGAGGA
Molecule: unclassified non-coding RNA, 337 nt
Filed under: soil metagenome
Description: partial contains 5.8S ribosomal RNA, internal transcribed spacer 2, and large subunit ribosomal RNA
Rfam family: 5.8S ribosomal RNA (bases 1-120)
Source: RNAcentral